RNAcentral lists this ribosomal RNA (773 nucleotides) under uncultured Neocallimastigales. Its description in RNAcentral is "partial large subunit ribosomal RNA". It matches the Rfam family "Eukaryotic large subunit ribosomal RNA", at positions 24 to 632 of the family's 3401-position model. The record is from RNAcentral. Lineage: Eukaryota; Fungi; Neocallimastigomycota; Neocallimastigomycetes; Neocallimastigales.
UUACGACUACAUAUCAGGCAUAUCAAUAAGCGGAGGAAAAGAAACUAACAAGGAUUCCCUAGUAACGGCGAGUGAAGCGGGAAGAGCUCAAAUUUGAAAUCUUCAAGGUUCUACCUUGACGAAUUGUAGUUUAAAGAAGUGUUUUCUGUUAGAGGAGUAGUAAAAGUUCUUGGAAUAGGACAUCAUAGAGGGUGAGAAUCCCGUAUUUGGCUAUUCUUUCUAGCUUUGUGAUACACUUUCAAAGAGUCGGAUUGUUUGGGAAUGCAGUCCAAAAUGGGUGGUAAAUUUCAUCUAAAGCUAAAUAUUGGCGAGAGACCGAUAGCGAACAAGUACCGUGAGGGAAAGAUGAAAAGAACUUUGAAAAGAGAGUUAAACAGUACGUGAAAUUGUCAAAAGGGAAGCGUUUGACACCAGUGUUGUUUAGUUGAAAAUCAAUUCAAUAGUUUUUGAUUCUAAGUAGUAUUGACUUCAUCAGCUUGCUGCUUUCUUCUCAGAAAUUAUUGAAUGCACUUUUCAGUUAACAAGUCAACAUCAACUUCUUUUGUUGUAAAAGGGUAAGAGGAAGGUGGCUUGCGCUUCGGCUCAAGUGUUUAUAGCCUUUUAUCUCUGCAAUCGGAGAGAUUGAGGUCUGCAGUGUAGAUCCUUCGGGGUUAGAUACAUUGGUGCUAAGCUAUAGCCUUGUAUAGACAACCUGUUGACUAUGCUCAGUCAUGUAGCUUACUCGCUGAUGCUAUUUUACCUACGCUUAGGAUGUUGAUCUACAGAGCGAGAGU